This 497-nucleotide ribosomal RNA is filed under the name uncultured bacterium. RNAcentral describes it as "partial 16S ribosomal RNA". It matches the Rfam family "Bacterial small subunit ribosomal RNA", at positions 28 to 507 of the family's 1533-position model. The record is from RNAcentral.
GAUGAACGCUGGCGGCGUGCCUAAUACAUGCAAGUCGAGCGAACAGACGAGGAGCUUGCUCCUCUGACGUUAGCGGCGGACGGGAGAGUAACACGUGGAUAACCUACCUAUAAGACUGGGAUAACUUCGGGAAACCGGAGCUAAUACCGGAUAAUAUAUUGAACCGCAUGGUUCAAUAGUGAAAGACGGUUUUGCUGUCACUUAUAGAUGGAUCCGCGCCGCAUUAGCUAGUUGGUAAGGUAACGGCUUACCAAGGCAACGAUGCGUAGCCGACCUGAGAGGGUGAUCGGCCACACUGGAACUGAGACACGGUCCAGACUCCUACGGGAGGCAGCAGUAGGGAAUCUUCCGCAAUGGGCGAAAGCCUGACGGAGCAACGCCGCGUGAGUGAUGAAGGUCUUCGGUUCGUAAAACUCUGUUAUUAGGGAAGAACAAAUGUGUAAGUAACUAUGCACGUCUUGACGGUACCUAAUCAGAAAGCCACGGCUAACUACGUG